RNAcentral lists this ribosomal RNA (489 nucleotides) under uncultured bacterium. Its description in RNAcentral is "partial 16S ribosomal RNA". It matches the Rfam family "Bacterial small subunit ribosomal RNA", at positions 28 to 507 of the family's 1533-position model. The record is from RNAcentral.
GAUGAACGCUCGCGGCAGGCUUAAUACAUGCAAGUCGUGGGGCAGCAGGACUGUAGCAAUACAGUUGCUGGCGACCGGCAAACGGGUGCGGAACACGUACGCAACUUACCCUGAACUGGGGGAUAGCCCGGGGAAACCCGGAUUAAUACCCCGUAAUAUAAUGGAGUGGCAUCACUUUAUUAUUAAAGCUCCGGCGGUUCGGGAUGGGCGUGCGGCUGAUUAGGUAGUUGGUUGAGGUAACGGCUCACCAAGCCUACGAUCAGUAACUGGUGUGAGAGCACGACCAGUCACACGGGCACUGAGACACGGGCCCGACUCCUACGGGAGGCAGCAGUAAGGAAUAUUGGGCAAUGGAGGCAACUCUGACCCAGCCAUGCCGCGUGGAGGAUGAAGGCCCUCUGGGUUGUAAACUUCUUUUAAAGGGGACGAAACCUGUGUAUUCUUACGCAGUUGACGGUACCCUAGGAAUAAGCACCGGCUAACUCCGUG